RNAcentral lists this ribosomal RNA (253 nucleotides) under uncultured bacterium. RNAcentral's name for it is "partial 16S ribosomal RNA". It matches the Rfam family "Bacterial small subunit ribosomal RNA", at positions 524 to 776 of the family's 1533-position model. The record is from RNAcentral.
UACGUAGGGUGCGAGCGUUAAUCGGAAUUACUGGGCGUAAAGCGUGCGCAGGCGGUUGUGCAAGACAGGUGUGAAAUCCCCGGGCUUAACCUGGGAACUGCACUUGUGACUGCACGGCUGGAGUGCGGCAGAGGGGGAUGGAAUUCCGCGUGUAGCAGUGAAAUGCGUAGAUAUGCGGAGGAACACCGAUGGCGAAGGCAAUCCCCUGGGCCUGCACUGACGCUCAUGCACGAAAGCGUGGGGAGCAAACGGG